UGCGAAUUGUGCAAAUGUAAUUUAGCCUAGAUGGUUAGUAAAGUUGGAUAUUGGACUGAACGUGUCGCCGUUUGAUGAAGAGUUAAGGCCGUCGUGAUAUUGGGAGUGAGUCUGGUACUGAACCGAACUGUACGCGAUUCAGAUUUCUAUUAUAUCAGGCGCUAGUUCCUUCAGUGCACUGGUUAUCUGUCUUCCUUCACACCCCACCACAGCCCAGAAUCAAUCUCUUGGGGUACUCCGCUCUCAAUGCCCUAUUGAUCGACCCCUUUCUAUUCCUUUGUGCGUUCAGCUCACACCAUCGCAGAUGACUCUUUACGUCCAAAACUUGGAGCAGCGAAAGAUAAAGAACGAAUGGACGUCGAAUAAAAAUUCUUGUCUUCUUGUCAUGAUCAGGAAUUUGUUACGAACUUUGGUCUAUUUGCUAUUUCAAUGUCGAACUGCAGUUUCGUGUGAAAUGGUUAUUUUGUUGAGAGCCGUUCGAGGUUAGUGUUUCUGCCAACUUCUUGGUACUUAUCGCGAGUUUGAAGAAUCAGGUAAGGUGAAUAUUUCCCCUUUAAGUGGUUUGGUUGUAUGAAAAUCGAACUUGAAGGAUGUUGCGGUCUGAAUGCCUGCUUUUCCUUCUAGAUCGUGGCCUUCCUGGUUCUAUACCAACAUUUCAGGACGAGGAGUGAACCUGAAAAUUCUUCCGAAAGCUCCCACUGCGUCGGCGCGGGCGUCUGGGGUAGAUUUGGAGGGGGAAGGACGCGAUGCAAGGCGAAGUGAAGCUGUCUUACUUACAAUUUAGUCCCACAUCCGGCAGGUCGCGUCGAGUGCUUCUUGUCAAGUGUUCAGAAUGAUUAGUUUUCAUAGAAGAUCACCGAUUCUUCUGUGGUACAUAAUAUCAGUCUGUGGCUAUCUGGCGGACGUCCGAGGCCCGCGAUUUACCCUGGAGCCACCCUCACUGCUGGUGUUCUCCAACUCCAGUGGCGGAAGGGCAGAUUGCGCUGCCGAGGGCU
Non-coding RNA from Zootermopsis nevadensis, 995 nucleotides. Lineage: Eukaryota; Metazoa; Arthropoda; Insecta; Blattodea; Termopsidae. The record is from RefSeq and is a predicted model, not a curated record.